UUAGAGUUUGAUCCUGGCUCAGGAUGAACGCUGGCGGCAGGCUUAAUACAUGCAAGUUGAACGGUAACAUGAGAGUAGCAAUACUUUUGAUGACGAGUGGCGUACGGGUGCGUAACACGUGUGUAACCUACCUCAUACAGGAACAAAACACUUGGAAACGGGUGCUAAUAUUCCAUAGUAUUAUGAAGAGGCAUCUUUUUGUAAUUAAAGUUACGAUGGUAUGAGAUGGGCACGCGGUCCAUUAGCUAGUUGGUAAGGUAACGGCUUACCAAGGCGACGAUGGAUAGGGGUUCUGAGAGGAAAGACCCCCACAUUGGAACUGAGACACGGUCCAAACUCCUACGGGAGGCAGCAGUAAGGAAUAUUGGUCAAUGGAGGCAACUCUGAACCAGCCAUGCCGCGUGCAGGAAUAAGGCCCUAUGGGUCGUAAACUGCUUUUAUUAGAGGAUAAAGUGAAGUACGAGUACUUUAUUGCAGGUAUCUAAUGAAUAAGCAUCGGCUAACUCCGUGCCAGCAGCCGCGGUAAUACGGAGGAUGCAAGCGUUAUCCGGAUUUAUUGGGUUUAAAGGGUGCGCAGGCGGACCAAUAAGUCAGUGGUGAAAUCUACAUGCUUAACAUGUAACGUGCCAUUGAUACUGUUGGACUAGUAUUUAAAUGACGUAGCUGGAAUGUGUUAUGUAGCGGUGAAAUGCGUAGAUAUAACACAGAACGCCGAUCGUGAAGACAGGUUACGAAUUUAACAUAGACGCUCAUGCACGAAAGCGUGGGGAUCAAACAGGAUUAGAUACCCUGGUAGUCCACGCGGUAAACGAUGAAUGCUAGGUGUAAGGCCUGAAAAAGGUUUUGUGCCGCAGUUAACACAAUAAGCAUUCCACCUGGGGAGUACGGCCGCAAGGUUGAAACUCAAAGGAAUUGACGGGAGCCCGCACAAGCAGUGGAGUAUGUGGUUUAAUUUGACGCAACGCGAAGAACCUUACCGGAGCUUGACAUCCCGAGAAGACCGAUGUAAUGUUGGUUGUGCCCCUUCGGGGGAAUUUGGAGACAGGUGGUGCAUGGUUGUUGUCAGCUCGUGUUGUGAGAUGUUGGGUUAAGUCCCGCAACGAGCGCAACCCCUACGGUCAGUUGCUACGCAAGAGCACUUUAAUGGGACCGCUACCGACAAGGUGGAGGAAGGUGGGGAUGACGUCAAAUCAUCAUGCCCCUUAUGACCUGGGCUACACACGUAAUACAAUGGCGGCUACAAAGAGACGGGAACCUGCGAGGGUGAGCAAAUCUCAAAAAGGUCGUCCCAGUUCGGAUUGUAGUCUGCAACUCGCCUGCAUGAAGCUGGAAUCGCUAGUAAUCGCGAAUCAGAAUGUCGCGGUGAAUACAUUCCCGGGCCUUGCACACACCGCCGGUCAAG
RNAcentral lists this ribosomal RNA (1402 nucleotides) under uncultured bacterium. Its description in RNAcentral is "bacterial SSU rRNA". It matches the Rfam family "Bacterial small subunit ribosomal RNA". The record is from RNAcentral.